CAGCAGCCGCGGUAAUACGGAGGGUCCGAGCGUUAUCCGGAAUUAUUGAGUUUAAAGGGUCCGUAGGCGGGCGAUUAAGUCAGUGGUGAAAGUCUGCAGCUCAACUGUAGAACUGCCUUUGAUACUGAUCGUCUUGAGUUAUAGUGAAGUUGCCGGAAUAUGUAGUGUAGCGGUGAAAUGCAUAGAUAUUACAUAGAACACCGAUUGCGAAGGCAGGUGACUAACUAUAUACUGACGCUGAUGGACGAAAGCGUGGGGAGCGAACAGGAUUAGAUACCCUGGUAGUCCACGCCGUAAACGAUGGAUACUAGCUGUCCGGGACCUUGAGUCCUGGGCGGCCAAGCGAAAGUGAUAAGUAUCCCACCUGGGGAGUACGUUCGCAAGAAUGAAACUCAAAGGAAUUGACGGGGGCCCGCACAAGCGGUGGAGCAUGUGGUUUAAUUCGAUGAUACGCGAGGAACCUUACCAGGGCUUAAAUGCAGAUUGACAGGGCUAGAGAUAGCUUUUCCUUCGGGCAAUUUGCAAGGUGCUGCAUGGUUGUCGUCAGCUCGUGCCGUGAGGUGUCAGGUUAAGUCCUAUAACGAGCGCAACCCCUGCCGUUAGUUGCCAGCAUGUAAAGAUGGGGACUCUAACGGGACUGCCGGUGCAAACCGUGAGGAAGGUGGGGAUGACGUCAAAUCAUCACGGCCCUUACGUCCUGGGCCACACACGUGCUACAAUGGCCGGUACAGAGAGCAGCCAUGUCGCAAGGCAGAGCGAAUCUAUAAAACCGGUCACAGUUCGGAUCGGGGUCUGCAACUCGACCCCGUGAAGCUGGAAUCGCUAGUAAUCGGAUAUCAGCCAUGAUCCGGUGAAUACGUUCCCGGGCCUUGUACACACCGCCCGUCAAGCCAUGGAAGCCGGGAGUGCCUGAAGUCCGUCACCGUAAGGAGCGGCAUAGGGCAAGAUCGGUAACUAGGGCUAAGUCGUAACAAGGUAACCGUA
Molecule: ribosomal RNA, 984 nt
Filed under: uncultured Bacteroidota bacterium
Lineage: Bacteria; Pseudomonadati; Bacteroidota
Description: bacterial SSU rRNA
Rfam family: Bacterial small subunit ribosomal RNA
Source: RNAcentral